GAUGAACGCUAGCUACAGGCUUAACACAUGCAAGUCGAGGGGCAGCAUGAACAUAGCUUGCUAUGUUUGAUGGCGACCGGCGCACGGGUGCGUAACACGUAUCCAAUCUGCCCGUUACUCGGGGAUAGCCUUCUGAAAGGAAGAUUAAUACCCGAUGGCAUUCAUUAGCGGCAUCGCUUUUGGAUUAAAGNUUUAUCGGUAACGGAUGAGGAUGCGUACGAUUAGCUGGUUGGCGGGGUAACGGCCCACCAAGGCGACGAUAGCUAUCCGGCCUGAGAGGGUGAACGGACACAUUGGGACUGAGAUACGGCCCAGACUCCUACGGGAGGCAGCAGCUAAGAAUAUUCCGCAAUGGGGGAAACCCUGACGGAGCGACGCCGCGUGGAUGAUGAAGGCCGGAAGGUUGUAAAGUCCUUUUAGGCGCAAGAAUAAGUACGCGAGGAAA
RNAcentral lists this ribosomal RNA (445 nucleotides) under uncultured bacterium. RNAcentral's name for it is "bacterial SSU rRNA". It matches the Rfam family "Bacterial small subunit ribosomal RNA", at positions 28 to 464 of the family's 1533-position model. The record is from RNAcentral.